This 445-nucleotide ribosomal RNA is filed under the name uncultured bacterium. Its description in RNAcentral is "partial 16S ribosomal RNA". It matches the Rfam family "Bacterial small subunit ribosomal RNA", at positions 330 to 792 of the family's 1533-position model. The record is from RNAcentral.
GCCAGACUCCUACGGGAGGCAGCAGUGGGGGAUAUUGCACAAUGGGGGGAACCCUGAUGCAGCGACGCCGCGUGGGUGAAGAAGCGCCUCGGCGCGUAAAGCCCUGUCAGCAGGGAAGAAAAUGACGGUACCUGAAGAAGAAGCCCCGGCUAACUACGUGCCAGCAGCCGCGGUAAUACGUAGGGGGCAAGCGUUAUCCGGAUUUACUGGGUGUAAAGGGAGCGUAGACGGCAUGGCAGGUCUGAUGUGAAAACCCGGGGCUCAACCCCGGGACUGCUCUGGAAACUGCGGCGCUGGAGUACGGGAGGGGCAGGCGGAAUUCCUGGUGUAGCGGUGAAAUGCGUAGAUAUUAGGAGGAACACCAGUGGCGAAGGCGGCCUGCUGGACGAUGACUGACGCUGAGGCUCGAAAGCGUGGGGAGCAAACAGGAUUAGAUACCCCAGUA